This 1046-nucleotide long non-coding RNA is filed under the name Capsicum annuum. RNAcentral describes it as "long non-coding RNA (CANN_LNC013364)". The record is from RNAcentral. Lineage: Eukaryota; Viridiplantae; Streptophyta; Magnoliopsida; Solanales; Solanaceae.
UUCUCUGUAGUAUCUCCAAUAGCAUAUUUCAUCUUCUUAUUAGCUCUAACGUCGCCGGAAUCUGAUGAUUUCUUCGGCUCAAUUAGCUUUAAUUUCUUCUUCAAAUCUUUGUAUGAUAAGAAUUUGUCUCGCCAUUCAGGUAAUGUUUCUUCUAUUUGAUUGCUUAAGCUUUUUCCAAACUUCAUUUGUUCAAAUAUAGAGGGAAUCACACACAAAAAAGUGUGACUUUGAGAGAAAUCACACACAGUGAACGUGUGAUUUGAGAAAAAAUACGCAGAGUAACACACACUGAAUUGAAGUGUGAUUUGAGAAAAAACACACAGUGAAGGUGUGAUUUUGAGAGAAAUUAUACACAGUAACACACAGUGAAGGUGUGAUUUUGAGGAAAAAUACACGCAGAGAAAGUGUGAUUUUGAGGAAAACUACACACGGUAACACAUAGUGAAGGUGUGAUUUUGAGAGAAAUUACACACAGUGAAGGUGUGAUUUGAGAAAAAAUGAGGGGAACAUAUGAAUUUGAGAGGUUGAUAUAAUGGUGUUUUGUAUGUGUGGAGUGAAAAAAAAGAGGGAGAAUAUUGAGUGAGUUGGGGGUUUAGUUGGGAAUAUUCUCUUCUUGUGCUUCUUUCCUUUUUUAUUUUUUAAAAUACUAUUAUUAUUAUUAAAAUAUUAUUCACUUUUGCCACUUCAAUAGAUCUUCACAAAUUAAAAGCGCUGCUUCGACCUUAACUAUCAAGCUAUGUGAUGAAAAUUUCCUCAAUCAAUUGUCACUCAACAGCUCGAAAUAUUUCGACUGAAGAAUUAUGAUCCAUCAAAGAAAAGAAAAGGAAAAAAUAUAUCGCGAUGCACCUCUCUUUGGUUAAGCUCCGGGAGAUGCUUAAGUUGACUUUCUUUAGAAGCCACAUCGAUAAUAUAUCGUUCUAGAUUUCACUUGUGAUAUAAUAUUGGUUAUGUUCUUGUGUCUAUAUCGUAUUGUUAAAUUCAUUGUAUUGUAUCAUUUUAGGCUUUACCCAUGAGAUAUGUUGUUUUAUAUCUCAAUUCAUUGUCGU